RNAcentral lists this long non-coding RNA (39583 nucleotides) under Lactuca sativa (garden lettuce). RNAcentral's name for it is "long non-coding RNA (LSAT_LNC003071)". Lineage: Eukaryota; Viridiplantae; Streptophyta; Magnoliopsida; Asterales; Asteraceae. The record is from RNAcentral.
AAAGGUUUAGUAACUAUGAUUAUACUUAUAAGACUAAGUGUAAUUCUGAAUUGAUUGAAAAAGUUUAAAUCAAUAGCAAAACGAAUAAGAAAAAUCAUGUGGGCAGAAAGAUAAAAGUUUCUCUAUUCUAAGAAGAAGGGAGAGUACCUUUUAUGCUUUAUGAUAGGUCUAAAUGAUUAAGAACCAUAUCUCAAUUAAUCCUCUAAAUGAUUCUUUGUGCAAUUGUAUGUCUAAGAAAAAGAGGAAUCGGGAAUUGAAGAAAUGGUUAAAUCAAGAAGUCAAUCAUACUUUGUUCCAAAACCAAAUCUUAGAGUUAAGAUUGUGACAUUGAGUGAAAAGUCUCAAGAAGUUUUAUAACAUUCAUCAAGUGUAUAAUUUGAAAAAAAGGAUUUUCUUAUUUUCGUACAUUUGAAGUUGGAAAGUUGUGAUGUCUUGGAUAAGACAAAGACCAACUAUGACCAAUUUUAUAUGGUGUUUUGUCUUGAUAAAAGAUACACUAACUCUUGAAUAUUUGUUUGUCUAGAAAUGUUUAUUAACAAGAGAAUCUAAUAUUUCAAGGAGUCAGUGGGAGUCUUAAUGGUCUUGAAAGCUUUCAAGAACAAAUGAAGAAUAAACCUUAUCGAUCAUCACUAGCACACGACUCGUGGUUUACAACCUAUCGUGAUGACAUCAUCUUGUUUUCUGUACCGUUCCAAUUGAGUUAAUUAUGCAUGUGAGCCCUAUGAGUUCUCAUUCGAAUGCAUAAGAGGCAAGGACCUUGAUCAAUGAAAAGUACAUUGAUGGGAAAGGGUGAGCUGCUUAACUACUUGGAAGACAUGGUGGGUAGCCGUGUUACCAUAAGGGAAGAAAUCAAGAUUGAGAAGGCUCGGUCCAUAUGAGUUUGAAUUUGUCAUAAACUUUCAUUUUAACAAAUUCACAUGGAUAGGAACACAUACACCAUUAAAAUCGAAGUGUCAUAAGAUUUCCUCCUUCAUUAAAAUGAAUGUGAGAAAAUGCUUUCACUAAGAAAGAUUUUAAGAAGAUUGUGAAAUUGUAUUCUCAUAUUCGAUUAUGGUUACGGUAUCCCUUUCCAUGAUUCAAAUUGUGAGAUUUGGCAAUUAGUCUGAAUUGUUUAAGACACACAUAUGAGCUAUAUAAUGCAAAGGUGUAUAAGUUUAAGAAGCCUUGAUAAAAGAUUAUCAAAGCAUUGAGUACUAGAAAUAUGAACUUAAAGAAAUUCAAUAGGCUUUGUUUUUCUGAAAGUUAAGUUGUUUCUGAAUACGUGUCAAAGCUAGCGGGAGCAUAAGUCUUAUGUUUAUAAUAAGCAUCAUAAUAGUGGGAGCGUAAAUGAUAUGAUUGCAUGAUUAUUAAGGCAAGUAUUGCAAGUUAGCAAUAUUAAUUAUAGAAAACAAGAGUCAUACUUUGCAAAGUAGUAAGGAUCGAAUAGUUGUUUUGCUAUAAGUAAGGGAGAGAAUAUUAUGCUUCAUUUCAAAUCUAAAGGCUUAGGUUGUGGAAUGUUAAUAAAUUUAGUCAAGGAUACAUAGUGAGUUCUUAAAUUUCGAUUAUGAUUAUGGCAUUCCUCUUCAUAGUUCGAAUUGUAAGAACGUAGCACAUAAAAUAUUAUGGCAGAAGAUUGAUAAAGUAUCAAAUCUUUAUGUAAGACAUUAUGCAUCAUGUCCCAUACGCUUCGAGUAUAGGAUUGAUUGCAAAAAUGCUAUAAUAUUUGACCAUUCUAAAAUUUUCCAAAUUUCUAGCGCAUUUAGAGGGAAAAGGACAAGAAUCGGUUUUGACUAAGAUAUUUAAACAACUAUCAAAGGACAAUCCAAAGUUCGCCAAAGAUUGGUCUCUUGUGAGUAGUUGGGAGUAUAGUAUUGAAUGGACCAUAUCGACAUAAUUAUGAAUAGAUAAGAUUCUAUUAAGAAUGAGUUGUCAUAUGGAAAAUAUGGAAAUGUUUCCAUAUUGGGAGUUGGACAUUAAGAAUCUAUGACUAGAUUAGAAACUUUUAUGCAAAAAGAUGUUCAAAGGAAUGUACUUUGAGUGAGAGAUAUCACAUCUAAAGAAUUGUAUUGUAACAAUCUUCGAUAGAGGACUUUGUAAUAUCAUUGGCAAUAGUCAUUGUGACUUUUGUGCUAUGACAUUACGAAAGGAUCAUUGCAUAAAAUGUUCGAAUCUAGCAUAUUCUAUAAAUGGCAAGAAUUUGAUAUUCUUUCAAUUGUGAUAAGGAUUGGGAGUUGUGAAAUGAGUAUGAUUGGAAAGGUGUUCAUUUGAUCUAUUUCACAAAGUAAGGACUAUAGGUUAGCAUUGUGUGCAUGCUAAGAGCAUGGGACAAGUGUGGUAAGUAAUUCAAGUAAGAAUUUGAUUACCCGAAACGACAAAUUAUGAGUAAUCGAUAUGGUGAUAAAUAAAAGGUGUUUUAUUUAUACUCAAAGGUUGAGGCCAUAUGGGAUUAGUAUUAUUCUUGUGUUUCACUUUGCGUGUUUUGACUUCUUGAAUAAUUUAAUUGGUUAAGAACAGUCAAAUUAUUCGAACGGGCCACAGUUGUUCAUAUGUUGGAAGUAGGUAUGAAUGAAGACUGUCGUGAAUUGGUGUGUGGAUUGUCUAAAUAGUAUUAGACAUAAGCAAAUGUUUGCUGCAGUGUUCAUGAGUGCUUAUGAAUAUGAUUUGAGCAUUGGAUUAAACCCACGUUCACUUGGAUCACUUCAUGGUUAUUAUCACGAGUGAUUGGUGAGACGAUAAUAUCUUAUAUUCUUGAAACCGAGAUGUGUGAGUUGUAUCUUGCGAGUCGGUUGCACAUUGAUAAUAUGUAAACGCACCAGUAACUUGGAUUUAUAAAACAUAUUGUUGUGUGUGAUUUGGUGAGUGAGUGCAAGCGAGCAUUGAGUCAAAGUUUAUCCAUUCCUUUUAUCCAAAGUAGGAUAAAAUCGAUAUUUGUGGGCCCCUCGAUGAUUUAAUGAUGGAACCUAAGUGCUUGGCAAAGCUGGGACUAAUUUGAUGUGUUCAAAUUGUAGUCUGUUGUCAGUCGUGAUAAAUUAGAAUUCGGGAAACAGCACAUAGACAGAGAGAAUGAUUUAGAUCCAUGUCUCAGUCUAUAUGAUAUCUAGAAUGGAGGAAUAUAUGAUCCCUUAUCUAAAGCACACGCGUAUCUGAUAAGAUCAGAGUUGACAGCGGCUUUAGAAAGCUACGAUUGCAGAUCAGGAUCUGAAGUAAUAUGCAGAAUAGUUAUUAGACUUAUCCAAGUGGGAGACUGUUGGAUUAGUGUCUAAGUCCAUAACUAUUUUGGUAUGUACUUGACCCGAUGGUGCAUGGUCCUUUUGGGUUGCCUUCACCAAAGCAACUUGAUAGGAUGAAUUAUGGAGAGAAAGGAUUAAAUAUGAUUUAUUAAUAUAUUAUGAGAAUAAUAUAUUAAAGGAGAAAUCAUAUUGUUUAAUUAAUAUUAGUCAAGAAUUAAUAAGAAUUAAGUUUGUGGCUAAAAGACAUUAAUUAAACUUAAGGGACUAGAACUGUCAAUUGUGUGAUAGUUGAAUAUUGAGCUAAUGGACUCCAUAUUAAAGGGGUGGAUGAAUUCUAUGGGGAAAACCAUUAGAAAUUGUCCAAAGGCCUUUAAGAAAGGAGUUCAUGGGUUGCUUAGGGCCUAAGCAUCCAAAUUAGGGCUUCCUUGUUAGAUAACCCUAAUAGCCUCACUAUUUAAGGAACCCUUAAGCCCAAAAAACGUGGUGAACUUGUUGAUUAGGGUUUCCACACGUUUUGGGGAGCCUCCUCUCUCCUUAUUCUUCAUCCUCUUGCUCUUGGUGUUUGUGAGCCAUUAGAGGAGUGACAUUUGUGACUGUAAGCUUUCUAAAGUCAUUACAAGGAGGAUUUGAGAUUGUUAUUGCUACAUAACAAUCAAGGUAAUAUCUUAAACCCAUUAUUAUGUGAAUAUUGAUUAUCAUAUGCUAGAUCUAGGGUGUAAAGUCUUGGAUGAAUUGCAUGUACAAUAGAGAAACCUAGAUCCAAGCAUUAGGGUUUGUAUGAGCACAUAGGAUGUUCUUAUAGUUAAAACCCAUCAAUAUUCGGAUCCACGAAUCCCAGCCUAAGAGUUGAAUUCAGGAAGUUGAUGGAAACUAAAUUUGAGAUGAACUCAAUGGUUCCGAUUAAUUUUUUUCUUGGCUUGAAUAUUAGACAGGGAACCGAAGGCAUUUUUAUCAAUCUGGAGGCGUACACAAAGACAUUACUUACCAAGUUUGGGAUGUUGGGCGACUCAAAGGUGAAGGUUCCUAUGGUGUUUGGCACCAAGCUGACUCCAUCAUUGGAGAAACUGCCUAUUGACAUGACACUUUAUCGUCAGAUGAUUGGGUCACUGAUGUAUCUUACAGAUAGCAUGUAACAUCCCAAAAUUCAAGGCCAAAAAUUUCAUUUUUAAUUAAGUUAUUACAUAAAACCCAAGUGUCAAUAAUCAAAGCAUUUUAUCAUAAAACCAUAUCAGAGUGUAAUCCCAAAGAUCUCAUGUGUGGGAAACAUAGUGUGAUGCGCUGCGAUCGAGCCGACUCCUUUCCUUUGAAAACAAAGCACCUGAAACCAAAAUUGUAAAUCGUAAGCACGAAGCUUAGUGAGUUCCCCCAUAAUACCACAUACCACAUAAUACCAUUGGUAUCUUUCACCCAGUACCCGGGGACUAUAUCUCCCCUACCACCAUCACAUAAUAAUAUAUCAUAAACAUACUGAUCACAUACUAACAUCAUAACAUACUGAUCACAUACUAACAUCAUAACAUAUCGAUCACAUACUAACAUCAUAACAUAAUUAUCACAUACCAACAUAUCAUAAACAAACAGAAAAGCAUUGCAUGGGUUCUGUAUACCCCUUCAGUAUCUUUCAACCGGUAUCCGUCAUCGGUAUCUUUCAACUAGUAUCCGUCAUCGGUAUCUUUCAACUGGUGACCGCCAUCGGUCUCUUUCAACCGGUAAUCGGGGACUAUUUCACCCCUACCACUAUCACAUAAUGUCAUAUUGGUUCCAUGAUAACAUAACAUAAACAUACUAAAUCACAUAAUGGCAUAUCAUAACCAUAUUGGUCACUUAAUAGUAUAUCAUACAUGGGUUUUGUCUACCUCUUCGGUAUCUUUCAACCGGUAACUGCCGUCGGUAUCCUUCAACCGGUAACCGGGGACUAUUUCAACCCCUACCACUAUCGCAUAAUAACAUAUCAUGAUCAUACUGCUAGGAAUGCAUGGGUACUAUCUACCCCUUCGGUAUCUUUCAACCGAUAACUAUGGGCUAUAUCCCCCCUACCACUACUAACUCAUAUGUCAUAGCAUCCUAGCACCAAAAGCAUAUCAUAUAACAACACACCAGGUAAUUAUCACAAAGACAAUCAUCUAAAAAAUAACUCCUAUUAGUGGGUCGGCAUUGUGGUCGUAGACCCAUUCCUACUGGAAGGUAACUCACCUCGCACUGCUGUAGUCCCGUAGACUCAACCCCACACUGCCGAAGUCCUGCAGACUCGACCCCAGCUGUUGGAUGACAGAUUCCCGAUCUGUCAAUAUCAAAACAUCACCCAAUUAAUAAUUGGGUCCCAACACAUAACCAAUAGUACAUUCUUUGGAUAAUUACUACAUUACCCCCAAGCUUGGCUCAUUCAAGCCCAAGGCCCAAUCUAUAGGCCCAAAAGUCCAACUAUGGCUCAAAGCCCAAUAUAUGGCCCAAGUUUCCAAAUUGGGCCCAACCUUUACAUGGUCUCAUUCUAAGGCCCAACAUCAUAUAAUCAUUAAGGCCCAAACUAUGGCCCAUCUAUGGCCCAAUUUUCCAAAUUAGGCCCAAACCCCUUACAUGGGCCUUACCCUAGGCCCAUUAAAUAUUCUAGUCCAUUUGCUUGACUUUGGAUGGCCCAUUAAUAACGCACACAUCAAGGCCCAAAAAUACACCCAUGUGAAAUUAGGGUUUCACAUAAAAUGACGAUUAGGGUUAAGUGUUUUUCGCUUAACCCAUUAAGGACUUAAUCCGUUAAAUCCAUCAUUCUUCUAAAUAAGUCAUAUGGUGUGAUUGGGCUUAAUCACACAAUUCCAUUAUUCCAAUGGCCCACAAGUGGGUCUCAAUAAGUUUAAGCCCAUAAAUCCAAUGUUAGGGUUUUCAAUCCCAUCUUAUCCCAAUAGGCCCAUUAGUUAAGUCCUUGGAUCCAUUAGGGUCCAUUAAGCCCAUUAGACACAUGUUUGGGAUUUUAUGCCCAUUAAGCCUCAUUGGGCCCAUUAGUGUUUCAGUCCCAUGACCAAAAACCCUUGCUCGGAAAACAAACCCAACACCCACCUACAGUGGGUGGCGACGACGGCAGCACAAGAAAUGGGCGGCAGCAGCAGCCAUUCAUGGCAACAACAUCGUCGUCUGCAUCAGCCACCUUGGUAGGCGGCCAUGGUGGUUCUUCAUGAGAUCCAGCCGACAGAAAGUCACACACACCCAUGCAACUACAUCACAACCCACGAUCCAGCCUCCGUUUCAUGGUAGUGACGACCCAAAAAUGCUUUCAAGAAGACAGGAGGGGGAGAAUGGCGACGGCGGAGCUGUGGAACGCACAACGGCGCCAACAGGCGGCGGUUAGCGGCGGUGACGCAUCCCAGCGACGAUCGACUUGGAAGAAAAAGUGGUAAGCGAUUCAGAAUCAACAAUAGCAUUUAUGGUCUCGGUCUUCAAGCAUGUCGUCACCGGCAACAAAGCCACGAUGGCUUCUUUGAUCGUGAGGAAGCAGGCGGCGUCAUUCGAGACUCCAUCUGAUCAGCGACGGCGGCUGAGGAGCAUCGGAAGGAGGUGGCGCCGGAGAUGGGAGAUAUAAGGGUGAGGGGGUCACGGCUAUAAUAUCAUUUAGGGUUAGGGUUCCUUAAACAAUAUGUACCCGAAGCCUUUCCAAAGUUGCUGCCAUAAUGGCAGAAAUGGCCACUCUCCAGAAUUAAAUUUUAAAAUUAAAUCUCAUGUUUUACCCUUUAAACCCUUAGCAUUAAAUCCUUAACAAUUGAGGUCUAGUUUCUACUAGAAUAGCCCCUCCCCUACAAACUAUUUUCAAAAGAAGUCCCAAUAAUCACCAAGUAUUCCCUGCCCUAAUAAUUCUUUACGAAACCCAUCCGAAACAUACACUUUUAACCCUUGACUUCUCAAAUAUUUACAAUUAGUUCCUCGAAAUUACACCUUGCAUAAUUAUUAUUGAUUUUAGGGCUAUAUUACGAUCAUUAAUUCAUUUAUUUAUUAUAAAAAAAAAAAAAAAACAAACAGUGUGUUACAACUCUGCCCCACUUAAAUUCGAUUUCGUCCUCGAAAUUAUUCCUUACCAUUACUUGCUCACCCAACCACUCUAGUAGCAUGGUCACCAAUCUGGGCACGCCCUAGCCUUCCCAGGGUAGCCAUGACCAAUCCUCGUAAAGCCCUAAAAUUUGUAGGUGUCGAAUUCCUUGCAACAAGACCACAUGUACUCUUGUUUGAAAUCUGUCGUCUCGAGAUAGUCUGAAUCCCUGAUAAAUCACUCAUACUAAAUCAUUAUCGUUGAAUCUAGUCUGUUUGUCCCUCAACUGACUACUCAACUUCUGAUAACAUGUGGUUCCCACUAUAAAACAGGGUCACUGACCCAAUUAUCCUUACAGACCACUAAUACUUGGCCAAGGCUCGGAUACUCUCGUUGUGAGUGACUUGUCACUUCCCAAUCAGCCAACUAUUAUGUCCGUACCAGCAACCUGAAACACAAAUACUAAUACUGCCCAGACACAGAAACUGCCUGAACACUGAACUGCCUGAAGCAGUAUGUUGCCACACGGUUGCUUCCCAAAAGCUACCGAUACCUUUCUGGUCUCAAUUCAUCCAUCAGUCAUCUGCAAUGUCGGGUUUCUGGCCGGCUGUGGAGCCAAAUGACUCCCACUUAGUCGUCUCACGCGACUCCUGAACGAAAUCCUUCCCUCGAACUAGUUGUCACUAGUUAUCCUACCACUAUGGCUCUAACAGCCUCCCGAUCCAACCGAUCUGGUCCAAGUGUCGAAUCCUGUCAUCAUCAAAUCCAAGACUAAAAGUGAUUGCCACCUAACCAUUAGUAGCCUAUUGUCACAACGACCUUAAGCAAUCCAUUGCUUCACUGGCUCAACCAGAGCUAAUCCAUCUGGGUAAAUCCGAAAGUCAAUCAGUGGAUUUCCAUAUCCUCACUGCUGCACCAGAACUGGUGGGUACUACUGUUCCUUCCGCGUUCUAAAAACACGCUCAUGCCAUCUACCAACCUAGUGAAUGCUAUGGCUACACCCGCAGUCUCACGACACUCUAUCACUAUCUGACCACUAGUGAAUGCUACGACUACCCCCUUAGUCUUACAACACUUCCCAUGCUAACUAACCAUUGGUGAAUGCUACAGGUACCCCCGCAAUCUUACAACACUUCCCAUACUAACUGAUUGCUAGCAAAUGCUAUGGCUACCCCCGUAGUCUUACAACACCUUCCAUACCACCGGAUCGCUAGUGAAUGCUACGUCUACCUCCGUAGUCUUACAACACUUUUCAUACUACUUGAUCGUUAGUGAAUGCUACGGCUACCCUCGCAGUCUUACAACACUUUCCAAACCGGGUCGAACACAUACUCGACCUAACCCUCUACUGAAAUUGAGUGCUAACCAGAACUCUAACCUGGUUCCCGAAACCUGCUAUCAUGUGACCCCACUGUAUCAAUACCGCACCCAUUCCCGUGAUCAAAGCGUCACAGUAAACCACAAAAUCAUCUACACCAUCUGGCAGGGUGAGAACUGGUGCCUCACACAACCGCCGUCUGAGAGCCUCGAAGGCUGCUUGCUGUCCAGGCCCCAAGCGAAGGCCCACUGACUUCUUAGUCAUUCGUGUCAAAGGACCCAUAAUCUCGGAGAAGUCCCGUAAAAAUCUCCGGUAAUAACCCACUAUACCCAGGAAACUCCGAAUCUCAGAUGGAGACCUCAGAAUCUCCCACUAUAUCAUUGCCUCUAUCUUGGCCAGAUCAACAAGAAUGCCCUUCUGGUUGACAAGGUGCUCAAGAGAUUGCACCCUGCUCAACCAGAACUCACAGUUGGAGAACUUUAUAAAAAUUCUCUCCCCCACUUAGACUCGACUAAGUCUUCACAUUACAUGAGAUUAAAGGAUUCCUAAUCCUCCUCGCUUUCUAAUAUCCUACUGAUGACAACCUGUGCCUGCCCAUGCUAGCAUUUAAUCACCGAUUAAACCUUGAGAUCUCCUAUCCUUGAAAAUCUCGAUGAGUACUCUUGAAAUAUGAUCCCCUUCUGCUGACAUGAGCAACCCUGCUACGAUGUAGCAGCCCAAACCCUUGGAGUGACAAACUCCCUCGUGUACCUCAUCGUACGUGCUGCACUGACUCAGGCCCUGCUGGCCUUUCACCCGAUGAUCAAAAGUCAUGGGUCUCUUCCUGGGACCUUCUACUAUAUGCACCUGGCACGCACCUCUCUUUCCAUGGUGCUCCCAAAUCAAUCCCGCAUCUGCAACUCUUGGAAAUCAUAUCCUUCAGGGUCUGACACCCUGUCCCGCUCACUAGCUCGCUUACCAAUGGCUAAGCUGCAACAACUAGAACAUCCUUUGUCCCCACACUGGGUCAUAAACUCAUCCCUGAAGCUUCUUAGAUUCUCCAAGACUCUCACUGAUUCGAGUAUAUCCUGUGCUUUCAAUAGUACGGGCCCAAUACUACCUUCCACACCCAUCCAUACUUUCCUCAGCAAUCCUCCCGAAUCCUCCAAGUCACUUCCUCAACUGGUACGCCCAAGUCUCACUGAACCUCACUACUAACCCACUGAGCAUAUCCUAGGCUUUCCUAGGUUCCCGUACUCACCCAGUCCUUAGCUGCUAAAGAACUUCCCACUAAUGUCAACUAGCUACCUCAUGAAUAUAGCCAUUCGCGACUUAGGAUAUUCACUUAGUAGCCAGCUCACAUUACUAAGAUUCCCUCAAAGCACCAAGCAAACAACAUUCAGACAAUGGAAAAUCUCACCUACAUAUUCCAAUCAGAUUAGUCUAUCCUCUUGUUAGGGAUCUAUACUAGCAUGCGAUUCUAAGGCUCACACAAUCAGGCAUACCCUAAACAAUCUAUCCUAUCACUAACUGAUUACUACUAUCAUGCAGCUCAGCAAGCACAUACAGAAGGCAUAUAAGGCAUCUUCCUAGAUCCUUAGCCCUAAUCUAGCAUGCAGUUCUCAUAAUCAUAUCAUAUCAUAAAACAACAUGUAUGGGUAUCUUGGGGAAAACAUACUUGAGCUCGGCUGAUUGCACGCAUCACACACCUUGUUCUUUCCAAAGUUCUUUUCUCCGUCCAAAUUCUUUUCAAAUUCUUUUUAUAAAAUGAUUUUCUUUUGACAAAUUUCACACCAAGCCCUCAGUUUGAGUCCAGACACACCCGAGAGUGUGCCUGAAUCCCUCAAACCAAGGUUCUGAUACCAACUUGUAACAUCCCAAAAUUCAGGGCCAAAAAUUUCAUUUUUAAUUAAGUUAUUACAUAAAACCCAAGUGUCAAUAAUCAAAGCAUUUUAUCAUAUUACCAUAUUAGAGUGUAAUCCCAAAGAUCUCAUGUGCGGGAAACAUAGUGUGAUGCGCUGCGAUCGAGCCGACUCCUUUCCUUUGAAAACAAAGCACCUGAAACCAAAACUGUAAACCGUAAGCACGAAUCUUAGUGAGUUCCCCCAACAUACCACAUACCACAUAAUACCAUCGGUAUCUUUCAACUGGUAAUCGGGGACUAUAUCGCCCUACCACCAUCACAUAAUAAUAUAUCAUAAACAUACUGAUCACAUACUAAUAUCAUAACAUACUGAUCACAUACUAACAUCAUAAAAUAUCGAUCACAUACUAACAUCAUAACAUAAUGAUCACAUACCAACAUAUCAUCAACAAACAGAGAAGCAUUGCAUGGGUUCUGUAUACCCCUUCGGUAUCUUUCAACUGGUAUCCGUCAUCGGUAUCUUUCAACCGGUUUCCGCCAUCGGUAUCUUUCAACUGGUAACCGCCAUCGGUAUCUUUCAACUAGUAAUCGGGGACUAUCUCACGCCCUACCACUAUCACAUAAUAUCAUACUGGUUCCAUGAUAACAUAACAUAAACAUAUUGAAUCACAUAAUGGCAUAUCAUAACUAUACUGGUCACUUAAUAGUAUAUCAUACAUGGGUUCUGUCUGCCUCUUCGGUAUCUUUCAACCGAUAACUGCCUUCGGUAUCUUUCAACUGGUAACCGGGGAUUAUUUCACCCCCUACCACUAUCACAUAAUUGUUGGAAUAGUGUCUAAGGUUGAAACAAUAUUUGGCAAGUAUUUGACCCAGUUGUGCAUGGUCCUUUUGGGUUCCCUUCACCAUAGCAACUUGACAGGAUGAUUUAUAAUGAGAGAAGAAAUAUUAUUUAUAUAUUAUGAGUAUAAUAUAAGGAAUAAUAAUAUUGUUAUUUGAUUAAUAUAAGUCAUAAAUUAAUUAGGAAUUAAUUUGGUGACUUAAAGAGAUUAAUUGAAUAAAGGGGCAUACACUGUCAAUUGUAUGAUAGUUGUAUUUUGAGCUGCGAUCUCUUAUGGAUAAGGGGUGGACGAUUUUAGGGUUUGGAAGAGCCUAGAACUUGUCCAAGGCUUAUCAUUAAGGAUAUUGGAUUGCUUAGGGCCUAAGUUAUCCAAUUAGGGUUUUAAGGGUGAAACCCUAGGAAGCUCAUUAGUAUAAAUACACCCAUAGGGCUGAGGAAAUCGGCACACUUGCAUUUGUAGAAACCCUGGCCAAUUUCUCACCCUUCUCUCUCUCUGUCACUUAUCAUCCCCUUGCUAGUUGGUGUUUGUAAUCCAUUAGAGGAGUGACAAUUGUGACUCUAAGCUCAAAGGACAAGAUGAUUCAAGCAAGCAACUCAAGGUAAUCCUCUAGAUCUGUUUUCAUAUGUUAUGAUUUGAAUGUUUUCAUUAGAUCUAUCAAUCAAAGGCUUGGAUACAUCGCAUGUUCAAUUAGAUAAACCUAGAUCCAAGCAUUAGGGUUUGUAUGUGCACUUCGGAAAGUUCUUAUGGCUCAAACCCAUCAGUGGUAUCAGAGCCUUGUUUGGUUUCUAUUGAAUUGAUGCAUUGGUUGCUUGAUUGUUGAUUGCAAAAUCGUUUUUUUCUUCUGCCUGAUGAACUCGGCAAGUACCACAGUGUACUCGGCGAUUAGGCCUCAACUCGGCGAGUCCAUUGUGGUACUCGGCGAGUUUGAGCGUCAGAAGGAGCUAGUUUCGGGAUUUCUUGUUGUUUAUCUUAUGGAAACUUGCCUUUAUCUUAAUGGGUCAAUAUAAAUCCGAUUUUAACAUAUAUUUAAGUAUAUCCUUAACCUAACUCAAGAUAUCUACCAAUUAAUUGAAUAAUAAUUUCCUUAUGUGAUAAUUCAUUGAUUAUUUUAAUUGAAUUGGUAAAUUGUUUUGCAAGAAACAUUUAAAUAAAUCAAAUAUGGAUAAUUAUGAGAUUAAAUGGUUAAUUUAAAUUAUUUGUUAUUUGAUCCUUUAUAUUUUGAAAAGUUUAAAACUUGUCCUCAACUUUUGAAAUUUAAGUUUUGUGAUUAAAAGUUUAAUUUAGACAAUUUAAAUUUCAAACCCUAGAAUUUUACAAGUUUAAAAUUCAACAUUAUACUCUAUAUGAUUACAAGCUUAAUAUACAUACAUACAUACAUAUAUAUAUAUAUANAUACUAUUAUAUUAUUACAAGCUAUAUAAAUAUAUAUGUAUAAUUAAAAUGCUAGUCUUACCGUUAGUAGGCCUCAUUCACGAAGCCGGUCUAUAAGGUGGGUAUAAGGUUGUUGCCUAUAAAAUGGCGCUUAAUGGGUGUACACUCACACCCACCGCUUGCUUGAUCGGUGGAGGGUCGUUAGCCGAACGGGUAGGAUAUGGCAACUCUAUCUCCUCAUUAAAAGUAUAAUAUUAAAUACAAAGUAACUACAUGUUUUUCAAAUUCCCAAUCCUAGUUACUUUAGGAAAAGUGAAUUGAUGCAAACCCAUGAAAUUACACUUUGCACCCUUGCUAAGAAGUUAGUGGAGCGUGUGUGGUUUACCGGCACACUAAUUGGUUCUAAGCAAAGGUGGCAAAGGGUGAUUCAUUGUUUAUCAUAGUUUGGUGGAGCGUGUGUGGUUUACCGGCACAUCGAAUAGGUGAUUGUAACAAUGAAGGCACCGUGUAGAUUUGCAUGGUUAUUCACACCCACUUUGUGAUCCUCGGCAUCCCAGUCACAAACGAGAGGGGCAUAUCGAGAUUUAAACAUGCCAUUGAAAAUUUCAAUGAAUAUCAUCGAAAUCGAGGAAUUCUAAAUGCAUUUAAAACUUAAGGUUAUGUUUUGUGAUGGAGAAUUAGUGAAUCGUCAUUCACUUACCUUCAAAUUGUUUGCAUGUUGGAUUACGGCAUCCCUUUUCUAAUAUGUAAAUAAUGUUGUUGUAUCCUAGCCCUAAUUUUCCAUAUUGGGUGAUAAUUAGGGAUUCAAUUCUAAUCAAACUUUGUCCUUUUCUAUUUGUAGAUGUCGAACACCAACAACGUUGCUGCUAGCUCGUUCACAUUGAUGAGCCUUUGCCAAAAGGUGACUUUCGAUGGAACGAACUUUAGCGAAUGGAUAAGAUAUAUUGGCAUGAUUUCUCGCUACAAGGACAAGGAGUAUGUCCUUGACGAGAAGAUUGAGAAGAUCAAUCCAGAAGUUGCUACUCCGGCUGAAAUGACUGCUCUUGAGACUCAUGAACGUGAUGCGACGAAGGUUCAUUGCAUCAUGAUAGCCACAAUGAACGACGCAUUCCAAAAGUCCUAUGAGGACAUGUAUCCGUACGAAAUGCAUCAAGACUUAUUGGAGAGAUACCAUCAAAACGUGAGGCAGGAACGUUACGAGAUCUUCACUAACAUGAUCUCUGCUAAAAUGGGACAUGGAGAUUCCCUAAACGUACACUUGCAAAAGAUGCAAAGGUAUGUCAAUCGUCUUCACAAGUUGAAUGUCGACUUUGGGGAGGACUUAGCUAUCGACAUGGUACUUCAUUCCAUGCCUCCAUGUUACAACCAAUUUAGGAUGACCUACCACAUGAACAAGGAAGAGGUCACCCUAAGCAAGCUCCAAGGUCUCCUUAGGGUUGCUGAGAGCAACCUCAAGGACAAGUCUGUUGCACCAACUCCCAAUCCACCCGUUGCUCCUGUUUUGGCUAUUGGGCAGGGAAGGGGCAAGAAGCGGAAGGCUCCGUCUAAGAGCUACCGCAAGAGAAAGUCCCGAGAUGGUUGCUCUUCUAGUGGGACCAAAGUUGAUCCUGCUAAGCGAAACCCUAACCCAAAAGAGGCAGAUUGCCAUCAUUUCCACAAACUAGGUCAUUGGAAGAGAAGCUGCCCAGAAUACCUGCAAGCCAUCAGGGAAAGAAAGAUCAAGCCAUCUUUCGCAGGUAUUUACACAAUUAAAUCUAAUGAUUCAUCUCAUGUUAUUUCUUGGGUCCUCGAUACCGGGUGUGGUUACCACAUUUGUUCUGAAUUGCAGGGACUAAGAAGAAAUAGGGAUGUGGAGCGUGGAAGAAUAAAUCUAAUCAUGGGGAACAGAAGAUCGUCGCCUGUGACCAAGAUUGGAGUGUAUUCUUUAGUGCUUAGGAAUGGUUUAUGUUUAGAUUUGAACAAUUGUUGCUAUUCGCCAGAAAUGGCAAGAAACAUCAUUUCAUUUCAUGGUUUGUUUAGACAAGGUUUUAGAUUUUCUUUUAAUAAUGAGAAUGGUUCUAUUCUUGCUUAUCUAAAUGGUGUCUUAUAUUUUGAAGCAAUACCAUGUAAUGGAAUUUAUGAAACUGUUAUGAUUGUAGAUAACUUAGGAAAUGAUGUUUUAUGCAUGGAUUCUUCCAAUAGUAUGGAUAGAGCAUCCUUAUGGCAUUGUCGUCUUGGACAUGUCAACAAGAAGCGCAUAGCCCAACUCCAAAAGGAUGGAGUGUUGGAGUCCUUCGACCUUAGGGAAGAUGACACAUGCGAAUCUUGUUUACUUGGCAAGAUGAUCAAGUCACCCUUCACCGGUACGUGUGAAAGGGGUGAGGGUUUGUUGGAUCUCAUACAUAACGAUGUGUGUGGACCCUUUAGAUCCGCCACAAAGGAUGCAAACCACUUCUAUGUGACUUUCACCGAAGACUAUAGUAGAUAUGGGUAUAUUUACUUGAUCAAGCACAAGUCUGAAACGUUUGAAAAGUUCAAAGAAUUCAAACAUGAAUGGAGAAUCAAUUGGGCAGAAAAUCAAGAUGCUUCGAUCCGAUCGAGGAGGAGAGUACCUAAGUCUUGAAUUCCACGAUUAUCUUAAGGAAUGCGGAAUAGUUUCGCAAUUGAUGCCACCAAGGACACCGCAGUUGAAUGGUGUGGCAGAAAGGCGUAAUCGAACCUUAUUGGAUAUGGUUCGCUCUAUGAUGAGUCGUGCUUCACUACCUAUCUCUUUUUGGGGGUAUGCCUUAGAGACUGCCGCCCAUAUCCUUAACCGAGUCCCUACUAAGAAGGUUGCCAAAACACCUCACGAGAUGUGGACAGGGAAAGCUCCCUCGUUAGCACAUAUCAAGGUUUGGGGUUGCGAGGCUUUCGUAAGACGAGAUACUCACGACAAGCUCGAACCUCGAAGUGAGCGAUGUAUUUUCAUCGGCUACCCGCAGAAAUCCUUUGGAUAUCUCUUCUAUAGACCGAAGGACAAUGUUGUCUUCGUUGCGAGGAGAGGAGUUUUCCGAGAGCGAGAACUCAUAAGCCAAGGAGACAGUGGGAGGCAAAUCGAGUUUGAAGAGAUUCAAGAAUCGAUCGAUGAAGGAACCUCUACCACUGGCAUUCAACCUGAGGAGGAAACUCCGGUGGAUCCUAUUGACUAGUCAUUACCUCUUAGACGUUCCAAAAGAGUUAGAGUUCAACCCCAGUUUUAUGGUUUUCAUAUUAAUACCUAAGGGGACAUGUAUAUUGGUGAUGGUACACUAAUAAAUCUAGAUGAACCUAAUAGCUAUAAGGAAGCCAUGGCAGGCCCGGAGUCUGCAAAAUGGAAAGAGGCAAUGGAUAGCGAGAUCCAAUCCAUGUAUGAUAACNCCAAGUUUGGUUUGGUUAAUAAUGUGCCCGGACGUAAGACCGUUGGGUGCAAAUGGAUAUUCAAGAAGAAUACCGACGUGGAUGGAAAUGUACACACAUAUAAGGCGCGAUUAGUUUUGAAGGGCUUUACUCAAACUCCCGGAGUUGACUAUGAUGAGACCUUCUCACCAGUUGUGAAGAUAAAGUCUAUUAGAGUGAUGCUAGCUAUUGCCGCAUUUCAUGAUUAUGAAAUUUGGCAAAUGGAUUUCAGGACUUCUUUCCUUAAUGGGAAGUUGGCUGAGGAUGUUUACAUGGCUCAGCUAGAGGGUUUUGUUGAUCCAAAGCAUCCAAAUAGAGUGUGGAAGCUUGGGAAGUCCAUUUAUGGACUUAAGCAAGCGCCUCGUAGAUGGAAUCUUUGCUUUGAUGAGAAAGUCAAACAGUUUGGAUUUGUACGAAGCGAAGAUAAAUCAUGUGUAUAUGUCAAAGCCAGUGGGAGUAUAGUCAGAUUCCUCGUUCUGUAUGUCUAUGACAUAAUACUCAUAGGAAACGACGUCCGGACACUGUAGGAGGUUAAGUCCUGGCUCGGGAAGUGCUUCGCUCUGAAGGACCUCGGAGAGGCUUCCUAUAUUUUGGGAAUAAGGAUAGUGAGAGAAAGAAGUAAGAGACUAAUAGGAGUUAGUCAGAGCACUUACUUAGAUAAAGUACUAAAACGUUUUAGUAUGGAAAACUCGAAGAAGGGAGAAUUACCGAUACAAAGUAAUGCCAAGUUGAGUAAGACUCAAAGUCCGAGUACCGAAGCUGAAAUAGCAGAAAUGAGCCGAGUACCAUACGCUUCCGCAGUUGGCUCAAUCAUGUAUGCUAUGACUUGUACUCGUCCUGAUGUAGCCUUUGCUUUGAGCAUGGUUAGUAGAUAUCAAGGGAACCCUAGCAGAGCCCAUUGGAUUGCGGUCAAGAAUAUACUUAAGUACCUUCGAAGGACGAAGGAAUGGUUUUUAGUCCUCGGGGGGAGUGAUGACUUAAAGGUGCGAGGGUAUAGUGACGCCAACUUCCAGACCGACAGGGACAACUACCGUUCGCAGUCGGGCUGGGUAUUUACCCUUAAUGGAGGAGCAGUAACUUGGAAAAGUUCCAAGCAGGAAACCAUAGCUGAUUCAACGUGCGAAUCAGAGUACAUUGCAGCGAGCGAAGCGUCGAAGGAGGCAAUAUGGUUGAAGAACUUCAUUGGUGAUCUUGGAGUUGUGCCUGCCAUAAAGGAGCCUAUGGAAAUUUUCUGUGAUAAUGAAGGAGUGGUUGCCUUGCCAAGGAACCGAGGGAUCAUGGUAGAUCUCGUCAUACCGACAGAAAAUAUCAUUUUAUUAGACAUCAAGUAGAAGGACACCUUGUCGUUAGGAGGAUAUCAUCAGAAGAUAACCCAGCAGAUCCGCUUACGAAGGGACUGAGUAGGGUUAAGCAUUUGCAGCAUACUAGGAGUAUUAGACUGAGAGAUGAUAUUAUAUUAGAUUAGAUAAUUUUAGAAACUUGUAAUAGAUAAAUGUAAUUUAACAUUCGAUUAAUAAAUAAAGGAGUAUUAUUUAUAAGUAAAGUUACUGUCUUAUGUUAAAUGUUUAACUAUUGUUUCACUUUGCAUGUUUUGACUUCCAGAAUAAUUGAGUUUAUUUAGAAUAAUCGAAUUAUUCAAACAAUCCACAAUCGUUCAUAUGUUGGAAGUAGCUAUGAAUGAAGAUUGUCAUGAAUUGGUGUGUAGAUUGUCUAAAUGGUAUUAGACAUAGCAAAAGUUUGCUGCAACAUUCAUGAGUGCUUAUGAACUAGUUUNGGUUUUGAGAAUUGGAAUAGACUCGCGCUUGCUGGAAUCACCUUAUGGAAUGUGAUAAAAAGGGUGAUCGCAAGACGAUAAUAUCAUAUGGUCUUAAAACCUAGAUAUAUGGUUUGUUAUUUGUUAAUUGGUUGUACAUUGAUAAUGCGAAACUGCAUCAGUAAAUUGAUGUCAUAAAACGCAUUGUUGUGUGUAAUUGAUUAAUGAAUAAGUAAAUGCAUAUAAGUCGAAGUUUAUAUCUUACUUUUAUCCUAAGAGGGUAAAAGUGAUGUCUCGGUCGCUCGAUGAUUUGAUUUGACUUAUGUGCCAGGCCCGGUCAGAACUAAAUUGAUGUGUUCGAUUAAGUUCUAUGUCGAAUAAAUCUGAGAUCGAGAAACUAAAUGCUAGACAAUUAAUUCCAUAUAAUUGUCCGCAUAAUAUCUAAACAGAGGACUGUACGAUCCUUUAUCUAAAGGACAGGACUGAUAAGAUCAGAGUUUGACAGCGUCUUUAAGAGCUACGAUUGGUAAUCGGGUUAUGCUUGUAUAUAUAGUUACUAGACUUAUCCAAGUGGGAGACUGUUGGAAUAGUGUCUAAGGCUGCAACUAUAUUUGACAAGUAUUUGACCCGGUUGUGCAUGGUCCUUUUGGGUUGCCUUCACCAUAGCAACUUGACAGGAUGAUUUAUAAUGAGAGAAGAAAUAUUAUUAAUAUAUUAUGAGAAUAAUAUAAGGAAUAAUAAUAUUGUUAUUUGAUUAAUAUAAGUCAUAAAUUAAUUAGGAAUUAAUUUGGUGACUUAAAGAGAUUAAUUGAAUAAAGGGGCAUAAACUGUCAAUUGUAUGAUAGUUGUAUUUUGAGCUGUGAUUCCUUAUGAAUAAGAGGGUGGACGAUUUUAGGGUUUGGAAGAGCCUAGAAAUCGUCCAAGGCUUAUCAUUAAGGAUAUUGGAUUGCUUAGGGCCUAAGUUAUCUAAUUAUGGUUUUAAGGGUGAAACCCUAGGAAGCUCACUAGUAUAAAUACACCUAUAGGGUUGAGGAAAUCGGCACACUUGCAUUUGUAGAAACCCUGGCCGAUUUCUCACCCUUCUCUCUCUGUCUCUCUCACUUAUCAUCCUCUUGCUAAUUGGUGUUUGUAAGCCAUUAGAGGAGUGACAAUUGUGACUCUAAGCUCCAAGGACAAGAAGAUUCAAGCAAGCAACUCAAGGUAAUCCUUUAGAUCUGUUUUCAUAUGUUAUGAUUUGAAUGUUUUCAUUAGAUCUAUCAAUCAAAGUCUUGGAUACAUUGCAUGUUAAAUUAGAGAGACCUAGAUCCAAGCAUUAGGGUUUGUAUUUGCACAUAGGAAAGUUCUUAUGGCUCAAACCCAUCAAUAAUAACAUAUCAUGAUCAUACUGCUAGGCAUGCAUGGGUACUAUCUACCCCUUCGGUAUCUUUCAACCGGUAACUAUGGGCUAUAUCACCCUACCACUACUAACACAUAUGUUAUAGAAUCCUAGCACCAAAAGCAUAUCAGAUAACAACACACCAGAUAAUUAUCACAAAGACAAUCAUCUAACAAAUAACUCCUACUAGUGGGUCGGCAUUGUGGCUGUAGACCCACUCCAACUGGAAGGUAACUCACCUCGCACUGCUGAAGUCCCGAAGACUCAACCCCACACUGCUGAAGUCCUGCAGACUCGACCCCAGCUGCUGGAUGACAGAUUCCCGAUCUGUCGAUAUCAAAACAUCACCCAAUUAUAAUUGGGUACCAACACAUAACCAAUUACAUUCUUUGGUAAUUACUACAUUACCCCCAAGCUUGGCUCAUUCAAGCCCAAGGCCCAAUCCAUAGGCCCAAAAGUCCAACAAUGGCUCAAAGCCCAACAUAUGGCCUAAUGUUCCAAAUUGGGCCCAACCUUUACAUGGUCUCAUUCUAAGGCCCAAAAUUCGGCCCAACCUUUACAUGGUCUCAUUCUAAGGCCCAACAUCAUAUAAUCAUUAAGGCCCAAACUAUGGCCCAUCUAUGGCCCAGUUUUCCAAAUUAGGCCCAAACCCCUUACAUGGGCCUUACCCUUGGCCCAUUAAAUAUUCUAGUCCAUUUGCUUGACUUUGGAUGGCCCAUUAAUAACGCAAUCAUCAAGGCCCAAUAGAAGGCCCAACAAUACACCCAUGUGAAAGUAGGGUUUCACAUCAAAUGAUGAUUAGGGUUAAGUGUUUCUCGCUUAACCCAUUAAGGACUUAAUCCAUUAAGUCCAUCAUCUUCUAAAUAAGUCAUAUGGUGUGAUUGGGUUUAAUCACACAAUUCCAUUAUUCCAAUGGCCCACAAGUGGGUCUUAAUAAGUUCAAGACCAUAAAUCCAAUAUUAGGGUUUUCAAUCCCAUCUUAGCCCAAUAGGCUCAUUAGUUAAGUGCUUGGAUACCUUAGGGUCCAUUAAGCCCAUUAGACACAUGUUUGGGAUUUUAUGCCCAUUAAGCCUCAUUGGGCCCAUUAGGGUUUCAGUCCCUUGACCAAACAUACCCAAACUAGCAAUCCCAACACAACUAAGCAAACCGCCACCCGACACGGCGGCCGGUGGCGGCAGGUGGCGACUGCCACCACCCUAAGGUGGUGGUUUGAGUUUCUUUCUCAUUAUUCCAUCUCCAAUUACAUGUUACAAUGCUAAAACUCGAAAUAAAAACACACACUAAUCAACAUAAACACACACACAACCACCCACUGGUGGCCGGUGGUGGUAGAAGAUGGCAGCCACCACCUCACGAUGGUGGUGGUGAUUUUUAGUGGUUUCAAAUCAAGCACACACACACCAACAGCAACCCUUGCUCGGAAAACGAACCCAACACCCACCUGUAGUGGGUGGCGACGGCGGGAGCACAAGAAACGGGCGGCAGCAGGAGCCAUUCACGACAACAACAUCGUUGUCUGCGUCAGCCACCAUGGUCGGCGGCCGUGGUGGUUUUUCAUGAGCUCUAGCCAACAUAAAGUCACACACACCCACGCAACUAUAUCAUAAUCCACGAUCCAGCCUCCGUUUCAUGGUAGUGACGACCCAAAAAUGCUUUCAAGAAUACAGGAGGAGGAGAAUGGCGACGACGGAGCUACGGAACACACAACGGUGCCAACAAGUGGCGGUUAGCGGCGUCGAUGCAUCCCAGCGACGACCGACUCGGAAGAAGAAGUGGGCAGCGAUUCGGAAUCAACAACAGCAGUCGUGGUCUCGGUCUACAAGCAUGUCAUCACCGGCAGCAAAGCAACGAUGGCUUCUUUGAUGGUGAAGCAGCAGGCGGCGGCGUUCGAGACUCCAUCUGAUCGGCGGCGGCGGCUGAGGAGCAUCAGAAGGAGGUGGCUCCGGAGAUGGGAGAUAUAAGGGUGAGGGGGUGACGGCUGUAAUAUGAUUUAGGGUUAGGUUUCCUUAAAGAAUAUAUACCCGACGCCUUUCCAAAGUUGCUGCCAUAAUGGCAGAAAUGGCCCCUUUCUAGAAUUACCUUUUUCAAAUUAAAUCCCAUAGUUUACCCUUUAAACCCUCAGCAUUAAAUCCUUAACAAUUUAGGUCCGGUUUCUACUAAAAUAGCCCCUCCCCUACAAACUAUUUUCAAAAGAAGUCCCAAUAAUUACCAAGUAAUCCCUGCCCUCAUAAUUCUUUACGGAACCCAUCCGAAACUUACACUUUUGUCACACCCCCAAACCAGAACGGCGGAAACGUUCAGGGGCGGAGGACGUCAUAUUCAGUAUUAUAAAAGUUCAUAGAAAGGAAAGUACACACCACCAUACAUAUAUAAAGGUUUUUAAAAAUGCUUACAUAAUUGUAUUCAUUACAUGCUCAAAAUACAAAUGCAUAAACAUCUUUCAAAAGAAAUAAUUAACGCCAACGCGUUAAUCCCCAAAAGUUGAUUUCCAAACCUGCUUAACGGUUCCCUGAGAAUACAAGUUAUUUCAAAGAAAAAGUGUCAACAAUUAAGUUGGUAAGUUCAUAAGUGAUUUAGAAACAUUGAAUGCCAUUCCAAAAUGAGUGUAUAUUUUCCAACAAAAUCUCUUAUUUUCUUAUAAAAGUAUGUAGUGUAUGAGAGUAUUUGUGUUGAAAAAUGUAGAUAGUUGAACCAAGAAAAUCACAUAUUUCCCUAAUAGUUGUUUGUUUAAUGUCCAAGACUAAAAAUUGGAAGCAAUCCACAUGCUUUAGAAGAUUUUAAACAUAGACUUAUAUAAUAAACCUAUCAGAAGAUUUCAUUUUGUUAGAUAAGGAAUAACCUUAGUAGCUACUCGUUCAUCAAUCAGAAGUACUAUAAUAGUUGUGUAUCCGAUGAGUUUUAUAACCAUACUAAACAUAAUAUGCCUGUAGCGACGUUCUUCAGGCGUCGUAGCGUUAUGACAAACUGUCACCCCAAAGGAAGGACUGUAGCUAACAGUCAGGGCGCGGGAUCAUGACUUCCCGUAUAGAUCUAUACACAUUUGACACGUUCUCCGAACGGGAGACUCUGGUUAUAGACAAGACUUGUAGCGAUACCCUCUAACAAAAAGGCAGUAUUUGAAGAUGUACACGUCUCAUGGAUUCUCAACUAAGUCUGUAUUAAAGUAAUAGUUUUGUAUGCAAAGUUUAUCCUUUUUCACAAUGUUUGACAAAGCAUAAAUCAUAAGUUUUUAGAAUGUAUAAAACGGUUUAGCAACGAAGGAUACUUUGGAAUUACUAAAUACUUUGUAUAAAUCUAGUGCAUGCAAAGUAUGACAAGAGUUUUCACAUAGUAGUACUAAAUCACAAGUGAUUCAUUUGAUAAAAACGAGUAANAUCGAUGUUUCACACGAUUUUAGUCGUGUGUUUACUUGUAUUUCCCCCCCCCCUAAAAGAGUAUAUAUAUAUAAAAAGAAAAACAUUUAAAAUGUAUUUAAAGUGUGUUUGUAGGGGUAUAAACUCACUUAAAAGUUUGAAGAUAGCGAGAUGGAAAACCGGGCAGAGUUUCGUCUCGGGAAACGGAUUUUUCUCGGGAUUCUCGGGAAUCUCGGGAGUAAAAUCAACCUUCGGGACUUGAGCAAAAUGAUCAGGCUUCGGGGUAGUGCGGGCACGGAUAUCGAGGCAAUAUCGUGAGAGAAAUGAGAGAAAUGGGGUAAAUUUUCCGAAACCCUCGCAUCCCUUUUAUAGGGGCUGAGAGGCCUCGGUACGCGGGGCAUACGGGCGUACCCGUGCGUCAUGCAUGAGCGAGUCCUCGACUGCCCCGGAGUUCGGAUGGGACGGGGCGUAGCUCGCAUAGGAGGCGACGUGGACGAACCGGAGCCCUUGAUUUGAGUACGCGGGGCGUAUGAGGGUACGCAGGGCGUACCUCGGUCCUAACUGCUGACUCUUCUUCGGAUAAUACCAAGAGUUUAUAUUUAAAUCUAUAUUUAUUUUAAAUAAACUUCUAAAAUUCAUAUCUCCUUCAUACGAACUCCAUUUUCGACGUUCUUUAUAUCCACGCGUAGGUGAGCCUAAGAUCUACAACUUUCGUUUAGAUUCCGUCAGCAAAUUCUGAAAUUAUUUUUAUUAUUUAUUUUUAAAAGGUCGGGGUAAGAGAAUUCGUUAAAAAUUCAUAACUUUUUCAUACGAUGUCCGAUUUGAGCGUUCUUUUUAUGUACGUUUGUAGUUGAAUGAUAUCUAUGACUUUCAUUUAGAAACCUAAGGUAAAAACGUGUUUUAUUGAAACUUUGCGUUUUUACGUAACUUCGUAUUGCCGGUUUUUGUCGGAAAACUUAGAAUGGUCAUAACUUCUUCGUUAUAACUCGGAUUUUAGUGUUCUUUAUAUGUUUGGAAACCUUAAGACGAUAUUUACUACAUAGUGUACUCCAAACAGAGCUCUAGAACACUUCAUUUUUCGAUGAUAUAUUCUAAUUACUUUUUCAAUGAGGUUACAAAACUCGAUUUUCAAUGACCUGAAAUGACGGGUUGUUACAACUUUUAACCCUUGACUUCUCAAAUCUUUUCAAUUAGUUCCUCGAAAUUACACCUUGCUUAAUAAUUAUUGAUUUUCGGGCUAUGUUAUUAUCAUUAAUUUAUUUAUUUAUUAUAAAGAAAUAAACAGUGUAUUACAUAGGAGACCAGAUAUUAUGUUCUCAGUCUGCUAUUGUGGCCGAUUCCAUGCUAACCCACGCGAACCUCACAUGAUGGCAGUGAAGAACAUCUUUCACUAUCUGAAGUGAACCACCUCUCUCGGUCUAUGGUAUCCAUCCAAUUCAGGAUUCUUUGUCCAAUCAUUCUCAGAUGCUGACCUAGGGGGAUGUGGAUUGGAUCGUAAAAGCACUACUGGAGGAUGCCAAUUUCUUGAUGGAAAAUUAGUAAGUUGGCAAUCAAAGAAACAAACCUAUGUUUCUCUCUCCACAGCCACAGCUGAAUACAUAGUCGUAGCAUCAUGCACAUCUCAGGUCAUUUGGAUACAAAGUCAACUUUGAGACUAUGGGUUGAACAUGAAUAAACUCCCACUAUAUUGCGACUCCGAAAGUGCAAUUAGGAUUUGUCAUAACCCAAUGCAACACUCAAAGACAAAGCACCUAGCACUUCGGUAUCUCUUUAUAAAAUAUCAUGUGGAAGAAGAUAACGUAGAGAUUCAUUUUAUUAGAACCAUUGAUCAAUUAGCAGACAUCUUUACUAAGGCUUUACUUGAAGCAAGUUUUAGUAAGAUCCUACAAGGCAUAGGAAUGAUGGAAGCUGAAUCUGUUCCAAAAUCACCUUCACUUCAUUAAAGGUUGGAAGCGAAAUAGAGGGAACGCUCGGUCUAUUUCGGGUUCGGUCCUACUAAACUCGGUUCGCUUUAUUUUUCUCAAAGGAAUUUUGGUUGUAUUCUUUUGUACACUCAUUUACAUACUUAUUUUUAUGUUUUUCUUUUCAUUUUUUUUAUUUUCAUAAAAUCCAAAAAUAAUUUUCUUUUUGUUUUUAUUUCUUUUUCUUUAGAAAUCUUUCACAAAAUACAAAAAGACUUUUCGUUUUAUUUCACUUUUCUCAUGUUUUUCUAUGUAUACAAGUUACUCUCAAUGAUGAAGUUGAUGAAGGUAUAAAUUCUUUUCUAUGUAUUAGUUAAGUGUCCUGGAAGCAUGUUGUUGCAUGUCGACCGAUGCCUCUAUAGAUUUUGAGUGACACCUUAAUGAUGUGAUAUAUAUAAAUCAUGUUUUCCCAAUUAGGUUGUUAAAUUCAUUCUAAUCAUGAGCUACCUUACUCUUCUCAUAUUGAGCUUAGAGUAUUCUUCUUGGUCCUACUUUUAUAGCAGAGGUACAUUUGGCUCCUUAACCACCUAUAUCAUUUUUCUCCAUCUCACUUCAUAUCAUUAAUGUAACCAUUGAGACUCUCAGCAAUUACUACUGAUGUUUAUGGUUACACAAUUUAUGUGUUUAUGAUCUUAGUCCCAUGUUACUACGUACUAAGUGAAACCCAAAAUUCAAUACCCAUAAUGAAUUGAUGGUGAACAAUUACUAUGUUCUAGCUUUCGCCAAUGAAUUAACAAAACCACUCUAUGUGGUGUUACCAUGAAAUCUCUUUGCAUUUUGAGAGAUCCUUUUUGAAAAUUGUCUAUCACCAAGACUUUUCUUCCCCAAGGGUACAGUUUUAAUUUUUAUUUGACAUUUCUUAUUGCGUUUUCAACAAGUCACUGAAUACAUGUCAAACCUACUUGUUCAACAGGGCUCAUUGGUCUCACAGGUACUUCAUUCUCUUCUGAUCUUAUAUCAAGAACCGAAACUUGAAUUGAAGCGAAAGCCACCCUUACAAGCCUUAUAUAUAAAAAGAUGCCUUUCAUUGCUUCUUAAAAAGCACUUGAUCGUAUUUUAAGCGGAAAACCUCACAGACACUUUGAAGUCUCUCUUGACUUGGAAGGAAGAGAUUCGUGCCCGGGAUCCACUGCUUUAUGUGUAAAUCGACAUCACAAUAUCCCACAAAGUUUGAUUUAUUUCGUAUAGCUUGGGCUCUAAAGGUGUUAUGGUAGUUCUCAAACGAAAUGAUCUAGUUGACACAUAUUCAUGUUAUUUCUGUUGGUGACGUUUUAGAUAAAGCAAAAAGGGUGAGUCAGCAGUUAUCCAAACGUUUGGUCAUUUGAAAAAGGCGAUUUGUAUGGAAAGGUGAUUUGUAUGGAAAGGCGCGUAAAAAUGAAACGUUUUCUCUCUCGUACGUAAUCAUCGGGGUUGCCAACUGUCUAAUCCCUACUGUAUCCGGAACCGUUUCACAAAAGACAAGAUUUUGGGCGGAUUUUUCUCUUUCCUACUCUCACGUAUAAAAGGUUUCUCCUAAUCCACUUUACUCUUUUACCACGCUCAAAUCUUCUAAAGCGAGAGACGGUUUAAUUCACUAUUCAUCAUCUUCAUCUCAAGCUACAUCCAUGGCAGAAUCUUCUUCUGUUCAAGACACCUCUGUUCACUUCACUCUUUUGACCAUCAAGCCUUAACAAAACCUCUUGGUCAACCUUAUAACGUUCACCUAUGAACCCUACAUGCUGCAGGUUGUGGAAUGCCUCAAAUACUCUCCGCUUGUCAACACUCUUACAAAGGUGGAAGUAGUUCCCAUGUCCUAUCUCACUCAUAUCUACUCAACUGCUCACUAUGACAAAGUUGCAAAGAGAAUCCACUUUGACAUUCACAACGAGAAGACCUCGAUUUCCAAAAAUCGAUUAUGCACACUGCUAUGUCUUGCUCAUGAACCCACCAUGGUAAACCCUGAUUCCAUCACCACUGGUCAACUGUUCUCAAUGUUCUACAACAUGGGGUACACUGAAACCCUAACCACAGUGACGAAGUUCAAGAAAUCAUUUCUUCCUCCACAAAGGAAUGGCCUCUUAACUUUCUUGUUCAAAGGUUUCUCAAAGCGUAGAGCUGGAUCAAACGGGGUGAGUAAAUCGUUCACGACUAUCCUUUAUGGGUUAUACAAUGGGGUACAUCUUUACUAUGGUUCAGUCCUAUGGCAACAACUUGUUCAAAGCUUAACCUCCUCUUCUCACCAUUCGAAAGUCUCGUGUGGCAGGUUUUGGUCUAUUGUCAUGAAAUGGACGAUGGGUCAUUUUCAUGUCCCAAUCAUGGCGGACUCGCUUCUCUCCUCCAUCGCAACAUUCCAUACAACAAAGAUCAUUGUCACCGAUCCGUCAAAAUAUAUGUUUAUUGAAUCAGUUCAGGCAUCCAUGUAUGCUUGUGUGUAUGAAGCAAGUCAUGUCAUUCAAGAGUACAAGAAGCUUCCUUCAUCGGGUCCAAGGGAACUCUCACCUGCUAUGAUUCGCUCCAUAGAGGAAGUAAACAAGCUGGCAAAUAGGGGAAAGAAACAAUAAAAACAAAAGGAAGUGAGGGUUAUUAAAGAAGCUAGGGGGAAAACUCCUAGGUAGCGAAAGUCAGAGAAGACGGCUCCUUCCCAGCCUAAGCAGAAGAAAGCCAAAAAGCCAGCCCGACAACUUAUCCUUCAAUUUUCCAGCGACUCAGACUCUGAGUAUCUUCCUACAAGCCACAAACAACCUAUUCCUACCGCAUCUAAGAGCGAAAGCUCUGAUGAUGAGAUUUCGUUUCGUGGUGAUACUCCACCUAGAUUGCCUACACCUGAGGUACCCGUUCGCUCCCUAGUACCUUCUUCUCCAACUGCUUCCAUUCCUAUUUCCUUACCUCCCACCUUCCCAAUUAUCACAUCACAACCCACUUCUACCAUUCCCAUUCCCAUUCCCACUCCUCUCUUAUCUGAAGCCACCACAACAACCACCACUGGAGUUCAACCCAACGUAUCUGAUACGGGGGUUCGGUCUUCAGUCCCUGAAACAACCAAACCACUAUCUCUCACACCCUCAACCGAAACCAAUAAUGUCCUUGGUGGUGAAGAAAUGGAAUUUGAUUCUUUCUACUACAGCCCCUACCGAGUUCAUAGUGAUAAAGAUGAUGAUGCUCCUAUUACCAAAAAGCACAUCAAGGAGCUGAAUGAAAAACUCGACAAUCUCAUGGCCUCUUCCUCCUCUCACCAUCCCUACUCUGAAGCUGUUAUUCAGAGCAUGGUUGACACUUUUGUUAAAGGUCAUGAAGGAUCUAUUUCUAAAGCCACAGCUGCCAUUACCGCCUCAACCAAAGUUUGUACAAAAGCGACCAAAAAAGUCGAUAAACAAAUUCAAGACACUAAUAUUUUUCUUGAGUCCUUACAGGGAGCAGUUGAGUUGAACGCUUCUAAAGUGACCAUCUCAAUUACCAAACUCGAAGAAUCCUUUGCUGCUGAGAAGCAACACUUUCCCUAUCAUCGCCAGGACAUUCAAAAGGAUAAUGUUGCCCUUCUGCCCUCUCUCAAUGAACGUUUCACAAAGCUUCAAGCUGAUCUAGCCAUGGAGAACUCACUCAUGGAUGAACUUGCUCUCAAGACUACUCAGCUAAAAACCAAAAAUCUCCAACUUUCUCAGGCGAACAAUGAGGUCAAUCAACUUCGCUCUGAAAGGGUUUUCGUCAAAAGCUGUGUCUUAGACGUACACGCCAUUUUAUCAAACUUCCUGGAGGCUCACGAUUCUAUCCUGACCAUCUCGGUUAGACGCCAUCUUGCUGACAAAUUCCAUCCUGCCCUUGGGAUGUUGAGUCGCAUUGAAGGUGUUUCAGAGACUGUGGUACCUCCAAAACAAGGGGGAGAAGGACUAACGUCUAAGCCUCAACCUCCUCCUACUUCCCAGCCAGAACAACCGAAGACUGAGCAUGCUUCGGGUUCGGGCUUUAAGGAUAAAGGCAAGGGUACUGUGGAUGACUGUGAUGAGGAAGAGGAGACAAUAGCUGAAGUUCUAAAGCGAAAGGCAAGGGAAAGGGAAAUCGAUCUCAAUGCGAAGAUUGUAAAGGAAGCUGAAGAGAAUGAAAGAAGAUCAAAGGAGGCUCAUGAUCUCUUAAAAAGCAAGAAAACCCUCUUUCCCUUCUAGACUCUGGAUAAUCUGAUCAAAGAAGCCAUCGAAGCUCCUAGCACUCAUUGGCUUGAGCCGGUAGUGUCUUUGGAUUGUAAAAACACAAGGGACUCUCACCAUGAUAUGCCUAUCAACUGGAAGGCGUUUGUUUUUCACUGCUUUCUUCCUAUCGCAAAAGUACCACAUCCAGACCCGAAGGUUGAUCGUGAACUAAUUGACUACUAUUUGGAGUUCCCUCAACUUCAAUAUCUUACUUGGAGCGCUCAGAAAAUUGUCACAGUUCAGGUCCUUAAGCCUCAAGCAGCAGCGAAAUUCAUAAAUGUCAAAUUCAAGGUUACCAGAGGUUCGGCCAUGAGUGAGCAUACCUUCUCCCUUGCUGAUCUACCUAAUCUCAAUCCUCAUGAUUGGAUUGUCAUGCACAACAUUCUUCUCUCCAACCCAGUUGAGUAUGAGCCAAUAAUUGAUCAUCUGAAAAGAUUGUUAGUCUGCUACAUUCUAGAGGUAGCUAAGAUGGAUCAAGAGGUCGCUUAGGUUCUCAGAAAGAAGCCUACCAUUUUUCCGGUUGGUUACGCAAGCGAUGUCAACAAGAUGAAAAUGGUAAAGAUUGACCAUGUGUUAAACUCGAUGAUUUUCACUAAACAAGAUGGUAAGAAAUGCUUGUUUUCUCUAACUGAUAAACAUCUCUUUACUACUACGUGCUUGGAGUAUGUUCUGGGAAUCAUUCACAGAUGUAAGCAGAAUAAUGAAAGCUAUUAGAAGUAACUCACAGAUAUGAUAAGAUGGUAUAUCCACUUUCACCAUGUUCUUCUUGCUGUGAUUGCAUUCUUGUUCAAGGUAGUGAAGCGAGCAGCUUUCAAUCAACCGAAGUGAAGGUCUCGCCCCAAUUGACGCAAAGGGGUAGAUUGUUGUGUAACGCCCCGAUUCUCAGGUAUGGAUUUAAAUAAAACGUUCUUUGGUUUUAGGUCCUACUCGAGAGUUAGUUGCCCUACUUGUCGAGUAGGAACGGGGUGAAAUCAAGUGUUAAGUGACCUAGUCACCGAGUCCAAGGAGGGACUCGACGAGUAAGAGCUGGCAGAGGAAACCCUAAAUCUCGGGCUUUUGCACCCUAUUUAAGGAAGCCUCAGCCUCCUUUGGCCUCCUUACAGUCUUUGAGAUCUCUUUGAAACCCUAAUUCAUGUGGUACUGCAUGUGGUGCGUUUUAGACCUUGGAAAGUAGAUUGGCUUCGAGAAAAGAGCUUGAAGAGAAAAGGAGUUGAGGCAAGGAAGGUGUGGGAAACAAAACUUACCUCAUCUAGCAUCUUUUGGAGGUAUCAAGUCGCAAUCUUUACUCCUUUUUCUUCUAUAUCUCUUUGUGGUUGAGUUUUAGGGUUUUAUGGAUUUUUGGGAGUCACAUUAGUGAGCUAUGGGCUAGAUCUGAAGUUGUAACUUCAGAUCUAGACCCUUCUCAAGUUCUAGAAUCAUAAAUUUUCUGUUUUGGUCGUGGUUGAGGCCCUCCUUGUGCAUGAAACCCCGUUAAGAGCUUAGAUUUGGCAUUAAGAGCCUUUUUAGUCAUGCAUGCAUGUAAAGUUUGCAACUUUACGUGGAAAGCAUGUCCUACAAGCUUGGAUCUGUGAUUUGGAGCCAUUACAUAGCUUAAAUAAGUUUGUAUGGCUUAGGGAUUGAAGGAACUCGACGAGUCGCAAGGUUGACUCGGCGAGUCAUAUGAAGAUGGUGAUUGAACUCGACAAGUUGAUGAACAACUCGGCGAGUCCAAUGAAAAUUGCCUUAGACUCGACGAGUGGUAUGAACAAGUCGGCGAGUCAGAUGAGUUUCCCCGAGUUAUGAAUGCAUGUGCAGCCGACAUGUUGCAAAAAGGAAACUCGAUGGGUGGCCUUAGGGUUUCUAUCGAAAUUCGUAAGAACUUGACGAAUCACACGAUGACUCGGCGAGUGGGAAAGAACUUCAAAGAACUCGGCGAGUUAUGGUCAACAGGGACUGUUGACCUGGGCUAAGGACUUUAACUUUGACCUGGGGUUGACUGGUUGGUUUAUGGAGUACUUGUGAGGUUGAGGAUUUAUGAGUAUGCUCGUACUAUGGUAAUAGGUGGAGGAGUCUUUGGCGAGUGAUCCGGGAGUUCGGAUUUAUCUACCGAGUCGACAUCUGUGAAGUGAGUUAUCCUUACUAUAUCAAAAGGGUCUAAGGAACCAAGGCCGGCCCUUUAGUUGUUAUGGUUAUGAUGUGAUGUAUGCGAUUAUGAUCUAAUAGAUUGGCAUCAGGAUAGACAGUAUGUUAUGUUUUAUGAUCCCUAGGGAUUGGUAUGUUAGUGGCCUAUUGGGCCUGUGCCCUAGUGAUGAGAGAUCGCUAUGAUUCAUGAUCCAUAAGAUAAAUAUGUUUGAUGUCUGUAAAUGCCAGUAUAUGUUAGUUAUGCGCACAUGAUUAUUUGUUUGUUGGUUGGGUUGAGGCGGUCCUGCUUUGUGUUGAAAGCCGACAUACCCUAUGAGCGGUCCGGGGAGACUGUGGGCCCACGUGGCGGUCCAGUCAUGCCGAAGGCUCGGUAUAGAUUCAGUUAGACUGUAGGCCCUGUAGGGCGGUCCAGUCGGGCCGAUGGCCCAGUAUGCAUAUUGAUUGUUUGAUUAUUACUAAUAUGAUAUUAGUAGUGUGGUGUGGGUAUUUUGGGGGUAGCUCACUAAGCCCUUGGGCUUACAGUUUUCAGUUAUUGUUUCAGGUACUUUAGGAGAUCGUGGCAAGGCGAAGGCGUGACCGUACGGCUCCUCAUCCUUACGAUCUGUUUUUGGGACACUCUGAUGAAUAAUGAUUUGAAAACAAUUUGUAAACAAACACUAUUUGGGUUUAAAUUGUGAUUGGAAAAGUGUAAAUUCGGUGUAAAAUUUAUGGAUGUUACAUGUUGGGAUUUGGAUGUUGCGUCUUGGGCUCGUUUGUUGUUAGCCUAGUUUUGUAACCGGUUUGGGCCUGUCUAACCGUGUAGUAUUUUAUUCUAGGGUUUUAGUAUUUAAGGUGCAUGCAUGCAACCUUAGUAAGUAACUCUUUUAUUAUUCUCACUAUAGUAUUGUAAACGUUAGCUCGCCUCUACAGUGGAAGUUUUUAAUCAAGCUCUGCUGAGGCGUGACUACGUUUGAAUCAUCAGCAUUAUAUUGAUUAUAUCUUGUGUUCAUUGUCUUGUUUGAUAUUGUUGUUUGUUCUUCAUUGAUUAACCUGUGAAAGAUCUAAACGAUCUAGAGAUUAUCUCUCAUCAAUAUACAUAAAUAACACAUUUACACACUCACUUUUUACAACUCUCAAGCACACCUCUACAAGUAGACUAAACCCACCUUAUAUAGAGUUGUUUACAUGUCUCUCUCUCACUCUCUAUCUUAUGAGUCAUAAGGCUAAUGCACCACAUGCAAGUGGGUCAUAUAAAAGUCAACACAUUACAAAGUCAUACAUGGAUAACUUUGCACCCCAACAUUCUCCCCCUCAAAGUUAGCAAUGGAUGACCCACUUCAAUUCUUUCAAAAUCGAGCAACUACGCGAUCCGAGCCUUAACGGUGACACAUAUCGAAAUGAACUUCAAAUCUUUAAUUCUUCCAUGAUUCUUCAAUUUGGGCUCUAAGAUGUAAGACCAUACAAACUGAGCAUCAACGAAUGAUCACGAGCUUCUCAAACUCCAAAUCGAUCACCCAAAAGUUGAGCAUAAAAACACACUCCAAAAAUCUUCAAUAAAUCCAAACCCAUUUCCAAAAUAAAUCAGUUCUGAACUUCCAAUUGCAUCAUUUCGUAAGCUUCAAAAGUUCAAGGUCACUUCGGUCUUCGAAUCCGCGUAAUAUGAAAAAUUCAAGUUUAAAUUUCCAUAUAAAUUUAUCCCCCUUUUUAUAAUCGAAAUUUGAUUAUAAAACCUUCAAGGAAAGAGAAGGUGCUCUAUUCGAAAUUUUUCGUGUCAAAACUCCCCUUAACAUGUGGGAUAAACUUUGUGGUUUAAUCCGGAAAACCCAAAAAAUAUUAGAUUUUUAGCUUCGUUCACGGAUAGAAAUUGUCAAUUUCAAAAUUCUGCAGUGACUUGGUGCGCCUAAAACAGCCAAAAAUGCAAAACUCUCCCCUUUUCCGAAGUUGUGUAGAAAGCGUCAAUUUGCAUUAACUGCAGGGGGCUGAAAUGCAUUUUCUUCAAUUUCUCAGCAAAAACAGUCCUUUUUCGAAAUUGAGUACUUGCUUCCAACUUUUCGAAAUAUCAGGGACUACUUUCGACAAUUCUACCCACAUCUUCAAACGUGUCGAAAUUAUACCCCAAAUGUCGAAAUUAACUACAAAUUGUCGAAAUUAGGUAUAAGCUGCCAAACUGUCAAAAUUUCAGGGGCUGUUUUCGAAAAUUCUUCAUUUUUCUUCAAAACUAAUGAAACCUUUAUCCCAACUGUCGAAAUUUUUUAAAAGGUGUUAAACUAUCUAAAGUUUAGGGACUAAUGUUGAAAAUUUUAUGAGAGGCGAAUAUUUCUUCCUUCCCUUUUCGUUAGCUUCAAUCACAAACGUCGACAUCAUUUUAAUGAAAACUUUUCAUUGCAUCUUUUAACGAAAUUUUUUCUCAUCACCCUUUCAACGAAAAAAUUUCAUUCUGAUUAACGAAAUCGAAAGCAUGCGAAGCCUCUGAAUCUCGUCUGAAUCAUUCAACCACUGAAUCAAGAUUUCGUUAAUACAGAGCUUCUCAAAUCAUCGACAUCAACUUGCUUGCUUUCGUUCAUAACCAUCUGCUAAAAUCAUGACUUAAAAAAAUUUCGACUUCCUGACUCCAAAUCAAUCGAUUCCGUCUGCAAUUAGUCGACCUUCAAUCACAAGUCAAUUCGUUAAUGAACUCCAAUUCUACUAUCGACUUUUAAUCAUCGAUAUCAAGUCACUCGAUUCCAACAGUUCUCAAAUCAAGAUUUGUUCGUCCCCAAACCAUCAAAUCUAGUUUAGAUAUCAACACAUCAAAAGAAAACUCCUCACCAAGUAGACAUUUCCCAAAAUAAAAAAAAAUAAAAAAAUAAAAAAAUUCCAGUAACUAACCUCGAAAUCUAACCCAAAAAUCAAAUUUUCGCACAUUAAUUCUUCAAUCAAGCCUUCGUCAGCCACAUGUUCAUCAAAUCGACUCCAACCCAAUUCAUCAACUCAGCCUUCGAUCUAUAACCCUAGCACAAGACUAUGAAUGUAAUCAACUUUAUUGACAAAAUCCAAGUCAUCAAGCACCAAAUCCAAAUAGUCUUCGUACAUAGAAAUCAUCGAUAUUGAACAUUGACUAUGAAAUCCAGGGCCUCACAUUUCAUUCAACUGGUCAUCAACAUUCGAAAUCAAUGUCAUAUUAUCAUUCCAAAAACAAUCGUCCAUCCAUCGACUUCAAUCAAUUACAGUAUGUCAUCAAGAACAUCCACACCUCCAGAUUCUAUAUUAAACUGAAAUCAGAUUAGAUUUUGACUCUUUCAACCUCAAAACAACUUGUAACUAUCGAUUUCAUCAUACGAUUCACCGAUUCAUCUCUUGAAAUCCAAUUUUGACUUUUUCACAAUUUGACAUCCAAUAUCGAUGAUCGACAAACACCAAAAUCCGUUUUGAAGUGUUGCGUCUGUGGCUUGCUCCUUAGCCCUGUUCCGUUACCGGUUUGGGCCUGUUCAACCGUGUUUUUAUUAGGGUUUUAGUAUUUAAUGUGCAUGCAUGCAUCCUUGGUAAUUAUCUCUUUUAUUUUAUUAUUCUCAUAAUUAUACUACAAACCCUAGUUCGCCUCUACAGUGGAAGUUCUUUAUCAAGCUUUGCUGAGGCGUGACUAUUCUUGAAUUACUAAGUUAUACUUUGAUUCCAUCUUGUGUUCUCUGUGUUUGUUUGUUUGUUUUUACUGAUUAAAUUGUUGAAGAUCUAAUCGAUCUAAGAGUUUGCAACUCAUCGAUUAGUAUGAGAGCAGGAGACUGUGUAAUUCAUACACAUCUCUUCUGUUGAAGAAGAUCUUUGGGUUUUCCGUUUUGAUCGAUAUUGUUAGAGCCAUCAUUUGCUAUUGACGUAGUUCUUUAAUAGUCAAUCUUACCCUAACGUUAUUACAAGUCUGAUCUUAAGCAGGUUUUUGAACAAACAUCAUCAUGUCCAUGGAAGAUUCUCAGACAAACCUAAUCAAUAUCUCCAACAGUAUAGGAUCGACGACAAGGAUUCCUAUAUUAUAUACUCAAGAUUAUCAAGUCUGGACGCAUCACUUCGAAGACUACGUGAUUGGUUCAGAAGACAAUGGAUACUUGAUCUGGGAGGCGAUUACUGUAGGUCCAUUCACUCACUCAAUCACUUCAAGAAUUGUUAAAACUCAAAAGGAGUACAAUCAACUUGUCAAUGAUGUGAAAGACAUACCCCCAAGAUGAGAAGGAAAAGUUUCAGUGCAACAUCAAAGCUUUAAGGAUGAUAAGGUUCUCUUUAUAAUCAGACAUGUUUCGGUUGGUAAGCUCAUGCACAAUGGCGAAAGAAAUUUGGGAUAGGUUGAAGGAACUAUACUCUACGGAUGAAGAUCUUGAGCAUUCAAUCCAAACUUUAUUGCUCUCAAAAUUUGGUGACUUCAAGCAGAAGCCUGAAGAGAAGCUUCUUCAAGCCUUUGAUCGCUUUAAUCAUUUCCUUAUUAAGAUGAUAAAGCAUGGGAUUGAAAGGAAUGUCAUUGAACAAAAGGUCACAUUCAUGAAUGGCCUUAGACCCGAAUGGAUGGUUGUGGUGUCUAUUGUGAAGGCACGUGAACAAUUCAAGGCUUAUUCUCUGGCAAAACUGGUGGGAAUAUUAAAGUCACAUGAGAGUGCAUUGACNGAAUAUUAAAUCACAUGAGAGUGCAUUGACUAAAGAAACGAACGUGGUUUCUAGCAUGGGGUCCUUGGCCCUAAUCUCCAAAGGGAAAGAAUGAUGCUAAAGAAGAAGAAAAUUUAGACCUUUCUGAAUAUGAUCUAACAAGUGAAGAUUAUGCUUUGAUGGUGUCAAAUCCCAAGAAGUUUAUCAAAAGAAGGUUCCCAGCUAAUAAGUGUUGGAUUAGUGUCUAAGUUCAUAACUAUUUUGGUAUGUACUUGACCCGAUGGUGCAUGGUCCUUUUGGGUUGCCUUUACCAAAACAACUUGAUAGGAUGAAUUAUGGAGAGAGAGGAAUAAUUAUGAUUUAUUAAUAUAUUAUGAGAAUAACAUAUUAAAGGAGAAAUCAUAUUGUUUAAUUAAUAUUAGUCAAGAAUUAAUAAGAAUUAAUUUUGUGGCUAAAAUGCAUUAAUUAAAUAAAGGGGACUAGAACUGUCAAUUGUGUGAUAGUUGAUUAUUAAGCUAAUGGACUCCAUAAAGGAUGGAGUGGACGAAUUCUAUGGGGAACCCCAUUAGAAAUCGUCCAAGGUCUCUAAGGAGGGAGUCCAUGGGUUUCUUAGGGCCUAAGCAGUCAAAUUAGGAUUUCCUUGUUAGAUAACCCUAAUAGCCUCACUAUUUAAGGACCCCUAGGGCACCAAAAACGUGGCCAACUAAUUCCUUAGGGUUUCUACAUGUUUUUGGCUGUCUCCUCUCUUCUCAUUCUUCAUCCUCUUGCUCUUGGUAUUUGUGAGCCAUUAGAGGAGUGACACUUGUGGGUCUAAACUUUCUAAAGCCAUUACAAGAAGGAUUUGAGAUUGUUAUUGCUACAUAACAAUCAAGGUAAGAUCUAAACCGCAAUCUUAUGUUAAUAUGAUUAAUUGUAUGCUAGAUCUAGGGUUUAUAGCUUUGGAUAUUCAAUUGCAUGUUCCUUAGACAAACUAGAUCCAAAAGCUAUUAGGGUUUGCAUGUACACCAUAGGAAUGAUGUUUUGCUCAUAACCCAUCAAUGGUAUCGGAGCCAUGGCUGUUUGUUUGAUGUAUUUGAUGCUAUUAUGAAUUAUCCUUGCUUAAAAUUCGAAUUUAGGGUUUCUGGGGGCUAAACUCGCUGAGUCCAUGCCUGACUCGACGAGUCAGCUGGUAAGAAAGAGGGAAAAUCGGGAUUUUGUGCUCUUUUGGCUGUGGGAUAGUUACCAAAACAUUUUUUAUUGAUAUAAAUCAGAUUUUUAUGAUACUGGGUGAUUAUCUUUGCCAAAAUUAAAGAUAAAUUCAUAUUAGUUAAAUAAUUAUUUUCUUAUAUGAUUAGAUUUAAUUAUUUGAAUUAUUUGGUGAAUUAUCUUGCAAGAAUUUGGACUAGGUCAAAUUAGAUAACCACCAAUUAAUUGUUCAUUGCCUUGUUUGAAUUUUGUGAUCUAGAAUAUUCUUGACAAAGUUUGGAAAAGUUUCAAAUUAAUCCCUUUAGGUUUUAUAGUUUAAAUUUGAACUUAAAAGUUUUGGUUUAGAAAUUUAAAUAAGUUCAACCCUAAUGUUUUGAAAUGUUUCAAAACUUGACCUCAAGUUUUGGAAUUUAAAAGUUGAUUAAAAGUUUAAUUUAGAAAUGUUAAAUUCUAAAACCCUAGUAUUGUUUUGAAAUGUUCAAAUCACUCCCUUAUGGAUUUAUUAAUUAAUUAAGUGUAUAAUUAAAAGAGAUUUAAUAAAUCCAUAAAGUUUUGGUUUAUAUUUAAUUAAAUUAUAUGUAUAAUUUAUUAAAUUAGACCACCUAGUAUUUUAAAAGUGUAAAAUACACCCUAUACUAUAUAUAACAUUAAAAGUCUAGUAUUAUAUAUGUAUGAGUAAACAGUCAGUCUUACCGUUAGUAGGCCUCAUUCACGAAGCUGGUCUAUAAGGGGUGUUUAAGGAAAUUGCCUAUAAAAUGGCGAUUGAAUGGGUAUCCACUCUUACCCACCGCACUCUUGACUAGUGGAGGGUCGUUAGCCGAACGGGUAGGAUAGGACGAAACCUUCCAUUAUAAGUAUAAUGAAGUAUAAAAGUAACUAAAUGUUUUCAUAAAAUUCCCAAUCUUAGUUACUUAGGCAAAAGUGAAUUGAUGCAAUUCCAUGAAAUUACACUUUGUGCCCUUGCGAAGACGUUAGUGGAGCGUGUGUGGUUUACCGGCACACUAAAUGGUUCUAAGCAAAGGUAGCAAAGGGUGACUCAAUGUUUGUCAUAGUUCGGUGGAGCGUGUGUGGUUUACCGGCACAUCGAAUAGGUGACUGUAACAUGUGAGGGCACCAUGUAAGUUUGCAUGGUUAUUCACACCCGCUUUGUGAUCCUCGGCAUCCCAGUCACAAACAAGAGGGGCAUAUCGAGAUUUAAACAUGCCAUUGAAAUGUUCAAUGAAUCUCAAAGGAUCUAGGAGUUUUCAUAGAUUUAAAACUUAAAUUUCUUUUUCGUUUUUCAUGGUGGAAAUUAGUGAAUCGUCAUUCACUUACCUUCAAAUGUUCUGCAAUUUGGGUUACGGCAUCCCUCUCCCAAGUUGUAGAGUAUUAUGUUGGGUCCUAGCCUUAAUAUCUCAUUUGGGUGAUUUAUUAAGGACUCAAUCAAUCAACUAACUUGAAUUUUUCUCCCUUAUUGUAGAUGUCAAAGUAUGACAACUAUGGUCUUCCCAAAUCCCGUGGAACAAGCAUUUCACAUGAAGAUGAUAUUCCACGAUUCGAUCGAGGAACACGAGAUCAUGCUUCACUUCCUCCACCUCCUCCUAUUGUUCUCCCUAACCCAUAAGUUCAAAAGAUUGAAAAGUUCAAACUCACUCAAGCCCUUUUGGCAAGUAAACAUAAAGAAGGAAAGUCAGUGUGUGCAUACGUCCUAGAGAUGAAGUUACACACUGAUAGGUUAACAAUGAUGGGAUCUGUUGUCUGUGAGGGGCUGGCUGUUGACUGGGUUCUUCAGUCACUUCCUGACUCAUAUAAUGAGUUCGUAAGAGAGUACUAUAUGAUGAACCACGACGUAACCCUCAUCAAUCUCACCUAUAUGCUUAUUGCUACUGAAUCAACAAUGAUUUGGCGCACUAGAAAAGCAAAGUUGAUUGGUGGAUCUGCCUUCCAAACCUCUAUGGAUAUAGGCAAUGGCAACAAAAGGCAUGCCAUGGAUCGAAAAGUUUGAUCAUAAGAGAAAGGUAAAGUCAUAAGUAGUUUCGUGUGUUGUUCCAAAAGAGUCAAUUUGCUUUUAUUGCCAAGAGAAGGGGCAUUAGAGAUGAAGCUGCCUUAUUUACCUAAGAGAUCCAAGAGAUGGGACAGUCAAAACGUAUGACUCUACUUUAGGUAAAAUCCACUAACUAAUUCUUUUACGUUCCUAUUCUAGAUUCUUAAUACAUGAUGUGAUAAGAUUACAUUUCGAUGUUUUGUAGGAUCGAAGAAAAGAGAGAAAGCUUAAUGGAAGAAGUGAGCGGAAUCUAAUCAUGAAGAAAUGGAUUUCGAUCGCAUUACUUGAAAAUUAGAAUCUUGAGCUACUACUUGGAGUUAGAAUAAGAUUGCUAAGAAAUAUGUAUUAACAUAGUUUUUCAAUUGAAUUGCAUUUUAAGGACAACUUUUUUCCGCAAUAAAAUAAAUUUUGAAUUUAUAUUAUUUAUUUAUCCUUGCAAUCGCGUGUAUGAAAAUUGAUGUUUGUAAGUAUCUAUUAUUAGCAAUAAUGGAUUUGAUUCUGAAUUAUGUUAUUUGUGGAAAGGUCAACAAUUUACCAAAUAGGGAAAGUUUCUCAUCGCACAUGUUUCAAUUGGACAGAAACUUGGAAUCAUACAACUUGGUUGCAUGAUGAAUGAGAAAUUUCAUAUUUGAAAAUUAGACUAAUUUGUUGACAAAGUGUCAUGUGAAGGUCUAAGAGAGCGAGUACACAAGGUUGUGUGUCCACCAUAAAAGUGACAAAGAUAUUCGUCAUGAUUUACGAAAGGUUUAGUAAAUAUGAUUAUACUUAUAAGAUUAAGUGUAAUUUCGAGUUGAUUGAAAGAGUUUAAAUCAAUAGAAGAACGAAUAAGAAGAAUCAAGUAGGUAGAAAGAUAAAAGUUUCUCUAUUCUAAGAAGAAGGGAGAGUAUUUUUUUUAUUAUGUUUUAUGAUAGGUCCUAAUGAUUAAGAACCAUAUCUCAAUUGAUCCUCUAAGUGAGUCUUAGUGAAAUUGUAUGUCUAAGAAGAGGAAUCAAGAAUUGAAGAAAUGGUUAAAUCAAGAAGUCAAUCAUACUUCGGUCCAAUAUCAAGUCUUAGAGUUAAGAUUGUAAAUUGAGUGACAAGUCUUAA